GUCCGGCCAACUCUGCAGCUCGGUCCAGCCCUGCCCUUGGGGAGCCGGGGAGGGGCGGGAGAGGCUUUUCUGGAGCUCCUUCAAAGAAGAACUUGUACUUUUCUGAGAACGACGCUCCCAGACCUUGGGGUGUGCCCUUGUCUGGCAAAGGGCGGAGGCCCUGGCUGUGCCUCCGCGUGCUUCCGCCGCAGGAUGCCGGCGUCCGCCCGCCUGGCGGGAGCGGGGCUGCUGCUGGCCUUUCUCCGCGCGCUCGGCUGCGCUGGGCGGGCCCCAGGCUGAGGGUAAAAAGCUGGGAUUGGUAGGCUGGGUCCAGAACACUGACCGGGGCACAGUGCAAGGACAAUUGCAAGGUCCCAUCUCCAAGGUGCGUCAUAUGCAGGAAUGGCUUGAAACAAGAGGAAGUCCUAAAUCACACAUCGACAAAGCAAACUUCAACAAUGAAAAAGUCAUCUUGAAGUUGGAUUACUCAGACUUCCAAAUUGUAAAAUAAUGGCCUGAAUUUAAGUUUUCUAAGAUAAACUCAGUGGUUUGGUUUUUAUUAUUAAUAGAGAUAGAACUAUUGUGUGUUAAUAUUAGCAUUAGUCAAUAAGUUAUUUUAAUGUCAGAUUUUUGAAUGUUAUUAUAUAUUACCUGUAUGAUGGAAGGAUUACCACUGUACACAAAUCUAAUCAAUAAAAACGUUAGAACCUUCUGCUUAGAGUACUUUUAA
This 709-nucleotide long non-coding RNA is filed under the name Homo sapiens (human). RNAcentral describes it as "long non-coding RNA NONHSAT169502.1". Lineage: Eukaryota; Metazoa; Chordata; Mammalia; Primates; Hominidae. The record is from RNAcentral.